UUGACUUCCGCAUACACAGAAGUUUUUGCC
RNAcentral lists this non-coding RNA (30 nucleotides) under Mus musculus (house mouse). Lineage: Eukaryota; Metazoa; Chordata; Mammalia; Rodentia; Muridae. The record is from RNAcentral.